UGAAAGUAGGUUUCACUGCAGUGGG
This 25-nucleotide non-coding RNA is filed under the name Mus musculus (house mouse). The record is from RNAcentral. Lineage: Eukaryota; Metazoa; Chordata; Mammalia; Rodentia; Muridae.